This is a long non-coding RNA of Xenia sp. Carnegie-2017, 177 nucleotides long. RefSeq lists it as uncharacterized. The record is from RefSeq and is a predicted model, not a curated record. The transcript has 3 exons. Lineage: Eukaryota; Metazoa; Cnidaria; Anthozoa; Malacalcyonacea; Xeniidae.
AUAUUGAAAAGUUAUGCAGGUGCGUUCCGUCUCACAGGAUUUCAAUAGAUGGUAUUCGUGAGUGGAUGAAGGACGAAUCGACUUUUUUGGUCGUGAAGUUGAGACUGAAGAAGAAGAUUGGAAAUGCAAGUACGUUAUAUACCUGGUCUUGUACGCUGAUCUUUACCAUCGAUCGAA